Molecule: long non-coding RNA, 1604 nt
Organism: Medicago truncatula (barrel medic)
Lineage: Eukaryota; Viridiplantae; Streptophyta; Magnoliopsida; Fabales; Fabaceae
Exons: 5
Source: RefSeq, a predicted model, not a curated record
UCCUCGUAAAACACAAUUCUCAAUUUUUUUUCUCUCUCACCUCUCACACUGGCCGUCAAUCAAGAACCCUGACCUCAGUUCCAUCGCCAUUUUCACAGAUCAUAUAUCUCAUACUCUACAUCACUUCAUCACUCAACACAACACCCAAACACCAUGCCCCAAUCCCUUUUUCUAUGUUCACUCUUACGGCGCAAUUCUCAUCUCUUACGGUGGUUCUCGCGGCCAUAUACGGUGCUUCUCCGAUUUCGAUUUUACCUUCAUUGUUCGAUCUGGACCGUUUUCAGAGAUUUGUUGUAGUCUUUCGCUGAAUUGUCAUCAUAUCCGUUUUCCUGCUUUCACAAACAAACGUCGUCCUCGUUCCUGCCAUUAACAGAUGUAAAACCUCGGUUGGAAAUUUGGUGACGUGAAGCUUUACCAAUCUGGAAAACAUUUCCAACACUUGAUCCACGCACAGGGGAAGUGAUUGCUCACGUUGCUGAAGGUGAUGCUGAAGAUAUUAACCGUGCAGUUUCAGCAGCUUGCGAGGCCUUUCAUAAUGGACCUUGACCUAAAAUGAGUGCUUAUCACAAUGCCGAGAUUGCAGCUCUGGAGGCAUGGAACAAUGGAAAGCUUUAUUAACAGGCUGACAAAGCUAACGUACCUAUGUUUGUGCGUUUAUUUCGUUAUUAUGCUGGAUUAUGGUAUCGAUUUUGACGAUGAUGAUUAGAAUGUGGCGCUGUUUUGGUGCAAAUAUGGCAGUAAAUUUUGCAGCUGUUGCAAAUGCGGCUGUAAAUUAUGUAGGAAUAUAAAGCGCUCAAAUAGUAAGUUUAAUCUUCCUUUCUAUGUAAUGUGCAUAAGUUUGUUUUAUUUUCAACAUGAUUAUUCAAUUCCUACACCGUGGCCUUCUCUACUUCGUUUAAAAAUUCUUUUUGCAUUUUGAAUUUUGGGUUUCAUCCUCCGUCACGUCUUCAUCCCCUCUUCAAUUGUAGAAAUGAUUUAUAGAGAAACACUUUUACAAUUAACUUUCAUUUAAUAUAAGCGCUUAACUAAGUGUGUGAAUAUAAGUUGUUUACAUAAAUGCUCCCUCAAUUGCUUGCUUUUUUGUAGAUAUUGUAAGCUAACUAGUUUUUGCACAUAUCACUAAUAGUCUAUAUAUCACAUAGUUGAUUCUGCUUGAAUGCCAAGAUGUUAGGCAUUAACGAGGCUCAAUUAACAAGACUCUUGAUUGUGUUCUGUGCUUGUUGCAAAUUUAGAGUCUUGUGCUUACAGUUUAGUCAUCAGUGAGUCAUGUCUGUCGUGCUCUAUUCCAUGAAACUUAAUGCAGGAAUAAAAUGUUAUUAAUUUGUUUUACCCUCUCAUAAUGCAUGAAUCAUUAUAUCAUCAAUAACUGGGUGAUUACUAGGCAUUCUCUGCUAAACUAAAUUUGUUGUCAGAUAUCCAUGAUGCUGAUUAGUUGUCCAAGACGUAGGCUAUUGAAUCAGGCCUCUUCUAUUUUCACUUGUGUGUUUACACUAUAUUCUGUUGAGAGUAUACUUGUGAGGGUUAUAAAUGAAUUUUUGUAUUUGUUAGCUUAUUAACUUCCUUUUUGGCAUUAAAAUAUCCAUAUUUGUUUUCAUAUUUUUAAU